GCUGUCGAAAAUACUGCAUAGCUAGGGAGUGGGAGAGGUAGACGGUACUCGGUAGGAAGGGGUAAAAUCCUUUGAUCUAUCGAUGACCACCUGUGGCGAAGGCGGUCUACCAGAACACGUUCGACGGUGAGGGAUGAAAGCUGGGGGAGCAAACCGGAUUAGAUACCCGGGUAGUCCCAGCUGUAAACUAUGCAAACUCAGUGAUGCAUUGGCUUGUGGCCAGUGCAGUGCCGCAGAGAAGCCGUUAAGUUUGCCGCCUGGGAAGUACGUACGCAAGUAUGAAACUUAAAGGAAUUGGCGGGGGAGCACCACAAGGGGUGAAGCCUGCGGUUCAAUUGGAGUCAACGCCAGAAAUCUUACCCGGAGAGACAGCAGGAUGAAGGUCAAGCUGAAGACUUUACCAGACAAGCUGAGAAGUGGUGCAUGGCCGUCGCCAGCUCGUGCCGUGAGGUGUCCUGUUAAGUCAGGUAACGAGCGAGAUCCUUGCCUCUAGUUGCUACCAUUACUCUCAGGAGUAGUGGGGCGAAUUAGCGGGACUGCCGUAGUUAAUACGGAGGAAGGAGAGGGCCACGGCAGGU
This 578-nucleotide ribosomal RNA is filed under the name uncultured archaeon. Its description in RNAcentral is "bacterial SSU rRNA". It matches the Rfam family "Archaeal small subunit ribosomal RNA", at positions 571 to 1146 of the family's 1478-position model. The record is from RNAcentral.